UACGUAGGGUGCAAGCGUUAAUCGGGAUUACUGGGCGUAAAGCGUGCGCAGGCGGUUCUAUAAGACAGAUGUGAAAUCCCCGGGCUCAACCUGGGAACUGCAUUUGUGACUGUAGAGCUGGAGUACGGCAGAGGGGGAUGGAAUUCCGCGUGUAGCAGUGAAAUGCGUAGAUAUGCGGAGGAACACCGACGGCGAAGGCAAUCCCCUGGGCCUGUACUGACGCUCAUGCACGAAAGCGUGGGGAGCAAACAGG
RNAcentral lists this ribosomal RNA (253 nucleotides) under uncultured bacterium. RNAcentral's name for it is "partial 16S ribosomal RNA". It matches the Rfam family "Bacterial small subunit ribosomal RNA", at positions 524 to 776 of the family's 1533-position model. The record is from RNAcentral.